This 1233-nucleotide ribosomal RNA is filed under the name metagenome. RNAcentral's name for it is "bacterial LSU rRNA". It matches the Rfam family "Bacterial large subunit ribosomal RNA", at positions 1566 to 2808 of the family's 2925-position model. The record is from RNAcentral.
AAUACGAUACGCUAAGGCGUCGAAGUAGUGUAUGUCAUACUUCCAAGAAAAGCUUGCACUGUCAUAGAUAAAAAACGCCUGUACCAUAACCGACACAGGUGGGUAGGUAGAGUAUACUAAGGGGCGCGAGAUAACUCUCUCUAAGGAACUCGGCAAAAUAACUCCGUAACUUCGGGAGAAGGAGUGCCUUAUUCGUAAGGUUGCAAUAACAAGAUCCAAGCAACUGUUUAUCAAAAACACAGGUCUCCGCUAAGUCGUAAGACGAUGUAUGGGGGCUGACGCCUGCCCAGUGCCAGAAGGUUAAAGAAGUUGGUUAGCAAUUGCGAAGCUGAUAACUGAAGCCCUGGUGAACGGCGGCCGUAACAAUAACGGUCCUAAGGUAGCGAAAUUCCUUGUCGGGUAAGUUCCGACCCGCACGAAAGGCGUAAUGAUUUGGAUACUGUCUCGGAGAGGGGCUCGGUGAAAUAGACUUGUCUGUGAAGAUGCGGACUACCUGCACCAGGACAGAAAGACCCUAUGAAGCUUUACUGUAACUUGAAAUUGAAAUUGGACUUUAUUCGCGCAGUAUAGGUGGGAGGCGUUGAUUAUAAUCUUGUGGGAUUAUUGGAGCCAUCAGUGAGAUACCACUCUUGUAAUGUUAGAUUUCUAACUUUGAAUCAUUAUCUGGUCAAAGAACAGUUUCAGGCGGGCAGUUUGACUGGGGCGGUCGCCUCCUAAACGGUAACGGAGGCGUACAAAGGUUUCCUCUGAACGGUUAGAAAUCGUAUCUAGAGUGUAAAGGCAUAAGGAAGCUUGACUGUGAGACCUACAAGUCGAGCAGGGACGAAAGUCGGUCUUAGUGAUCUGACGGUACUGAGUGGAAAGGCCGUCACUCAACGGAUAAAAGUUACUCUAAGGAUAACAGGCUGAUCUCCCCCAAGAGUUCACAUCGACGGGGAGGUUUGGCACCUCGAUGUCGGCUCAUCGCAUCCUGGGGCGGUAGUACGUCCCAAGGGUUGGGCUGUUCGCCCAUGAAAGCGGUACGCGAGCUGGGUUCAGAACGUCGUGAGACAGUUCGGUCCAUAUCCGGUGUAGGCGUUAGAAUAUUGAGAGGAGCCUUCUUUAGUACGAGAGGACCGAGAAGGACAUACCUCUGGUGUACCAGUUAUCGUGCCAACGGUAAACGCUGGGUAGCUAUGUAUGGAGUGGAUAACCGCUGAAAUCAUCUAAGUGGGAAGCCCACCUCAAGAUAAG